RNAcentral lists this ribosomal RNA (520 nucleotides) under uncultured Glomeraceae. RNAcentral describes it as "SSU rRNA". It matches the Rfam family "Eukaryotic small subunit ribosomal RNA", at positions 570 to 1092 of the family's 1831-position model. The record is from RNAcentral. Lineage: Eukaryota; Fungi; Glomeromycota; Glomeromycetes; Glomerales; Glomeraceae.
GCAGCCGCGGUAAUUCCAGCUCCAAUAGCGUAUAUUAAAGUUGUUGCAGUUAAAAAGCUCGUAGUUGAAUUUCGGGGUCAGUAGGCUGGUCGUGCCACGGGUAUGUACUGGUCUUACUGAUUCCUCCUUCCUGAUGAACCGUAAUGCCAUUAAUUUGGUGUUGCGGGGAAUCUGGACUGUUACUUUGAAAAAAUUAGAGUGUUUAAAGCAGGCUAACGCUUGAAUACAUUAGCAUGGAAUAAUGAAAUAGGGCGAUCGAUCCUAUUUUGUUGGUUUCUAGGAUUGACGUAAUGAUUAAUAGGGAUAGUUGGGGGCAUUAGUAUUCAAUUGUCAGAGGUGAAAUUCUUGGAUUUAUCGAAGACUAACUACUGCGAAAGCAUUUGCCAAGGAUGUUUUCAUUAAUCAAGAACGAAAGUUAGGGAUCGAAGACGAUCAGAUACCGUCGUAGUCUUAACCAUAAACUAUGCCGACUAGGGAUCGGAUGAUGUUAAUUUUUAAUGUACUCAUUCGGCGCCUUAAC